CAGGUACUCCCUCCGUCCGGAAAUACCUGUCACCAAAAUAAAUAAAAGGGGAUGUAUCUAGACGUAUUUUAGUUAUAGAUACACCCCUUCUUAUCCAUUUUGAUGACAAGUAUUUUCGGACGGAGGGAGUAUUAU
This is a non-coding RNA of Triticum aestivum (bread wheat), 135 nucleotides long. NCBI's taxonomy places the organism in Eukaryota, Viridiplantae, Streptophyta, Magnoliopsida, Poales, Poaceae. The record is from Rfam.